GUACACUCCUACGGGAGGCAGCAGUGGGGAAUCUUGCGCAAUGGGCGAAAGCCUGACGCAGCCAUGCCGCGUGAAUGAUGAAGGUCUUAGGAUUGUAAAAUUCUUUCACCGGGGACGAUAAUGACGGUACCCGGAGAAGAAGCCCCGGCUAACUUCGUGCCAGCAGCCGCGGUAAUACGAAGGGGGCUAGCGUUGCUCGGAAUUACUGGGCGUAAAGGGAGCGUAGGCGGACAUUUAAGUCAGGGGUGAAAUCCCGGGGCUCAACCUCGGAAUUGCCUUUGAUACUGGGUGUCUUGAGUAUGAGAGAGGUGUGUGGAACUCCGAGUGUAGAGGUGAAAUUCGUAGAGAUUCGGAAGAACACCAGUGGCGAAGGCGACACACUGGCUCAUUACUGACGCUGAGGCUCGAAAGCGUGGGGAGCAAACAGGAUUAGAAACCCCGGUAGUCCCAUGA
Molecule: ribosomal RNA, 453 nt
Filed under: uncultured organism
Description: partial 16S ribosomal RNA
Rfam family: Bacterial small subunit ribosomal RNA
Source: RNAcentral